RNAcentral lists this ribosomal RNA (3047 nucleotides) under Beauveria bassiana. RNAcentral's name for it is "eukaryotic LSU rRNA". The stretch from base 1 to 2548 matches the Rfam family "Eukaryotic small subunit ribosomal RNA". The record is from RNAcentral. Lineage: Eukaryota; Fungi; Ascomycota; Sordariomycetes; Hypocreales; Cordycipitaceae.
UGUAGUCAUAUGCUUGUCUCAAAGAUUAAGCCAUGCAUGUCUAAGUAUAAGCAAUUAUACAGCGAAACUGCGAAUGGCUCAUUAUAUAAGUUAUCGUUUAUUUGAUAGUACCUUACUACUUGGAUAACCGUGGUAAUUCUAGAGCUAAUACAUGCUGAAAAUCCCGACUUCGGAAGGGAGGUAUUUAUUAGAUUAAAAACCAAUGCCCUCUGGGCUCCUUGGUGAUUCAUAAUAACUUUUCGAAUCGCACGGCCUUGCGCCGGCGAUGGUUCAUUCAAAUUUCUUCCCUAUCAACUUUCGAUGUUUGGGUAUUGGCCAAACAUGGUCGCAACGGGUAACGGAGGGUUAGGGCUCGACCCCGGAGAAGGAGCCUGAGAAACGGCUACUACAUCCAAGGAAGGCAGCAGGCGCGCAAAUUACCCAAUCCCGAUUCGGGGAGGUAGUGACAAUAAAUACUGAUACAGGGCUCUUUUGGGUCUUGUAAUUGGAAUGAGUACAAUUUAAAUCUCUUAACGAGGAACAAUUGGAGGGCAAGUCUGGUGCCAGCAGCCGCGGUAAUUCCAGCUCCAAUAGCGUAUAUUAAAGUUGUUGUGGUUAAAAAGCUCGUAGUUGAACCUUGGGCCUGGCUGGCCGGUCCGCCUCACCGCGUGUACUGGUCCGGCCGGGCCUUUCCCUCUGUGGAACCUCAUGCCCUUCACUGGGUGUGGCGGGGAAACAGGACUUUUACUUUGAAAAAAUUAGAGUGCUCCAGGCAGGCCUAUGCUCGAAUACAUUAGCAUGGAAUAAUAAAAUAGGACGCGUGGUUCUAUUUUGUUGGUUUCUAGGACCGCCGUAAUGAUUAAUAGGGACAGUCGGGGGCAUCAGUAUUCAAUUGUCAGAGGUGAAAUUCUUAGAUUUAUUGAAGACUAACUACUGCGAAAGCAUUUGCCAAGGAUGUUUUCAUUAAUCAGGAACGAAAGUUAGGGGAUCGAAGACGAUCAGAUACCGUCGUAGUCUUAACCAUAAACUAUGCCGACUAGGGAUCGGACGAUGUUAUUUUUUGACGCGUUCGGCACCUUACGAGAAAUCAAAGUGCUUGGGCUCCAGGGGGAGUAUGGUCGCAAGGCUGAAACUUAAAGAAAUUGACGGAAGGGCACCACCAGGGGUAAACGCUUAUGCAGCCGCAGCAGCUCUGCUCCAAAAAGCAGCCCGAAAGGGUCAGUGGUGUUCCUGUCCGCGCUACGGCGCGGCGAACUAAGUGCUAGUCUCUCCGGAGGCGACACCCUCAAAUUGCGGGAAACUUCUAAAACCAGUGCCACCAAGCCGGCGUCGAAAAGGCGUCGGUGGCCGGGGCAAUGACCUAGGGUAUGGUAAAAGCGCACUGGAUAUAUGGACAAUCCGCAGCCAAGCCUCGUCACGGGGAAGGUUCAGAGACUAAAUGGGGGUGGGUAGUGUGCUGGAGGAUUCGUCCCCCGAGCGCUCGCUCACACACUGCUUAAGAUAUAGUCCGCCCGCGCUGGAAACGGCGCGGAUUAGCAAGCUCAAAUAAACGGGAGCCUGCGGCUUAAUUUGACUCAACACGGGGAAACUCACCAGGUCCAGACACAAUGAGGAUUGACAGAUUGAGAGCUCUUUCUUGAUUUUGUGGGUGGUGGUGCAUGGCCGUUCUUAGUUGGUGGAGUGAUUUGUCUGCUUAAUUGCGAUAACGAACGAGACCUUAACCUGCUAAAUAGCCUGUAUUGCUUUGGCAGUACGCCGGCUUCUUAGAGGGACUAUCGGCUCAAGCCGAUGGAAGUUUGAGGCAAUAACAGGUUGACCUACACAGGCCUGUCACAGUGGUCCUCACUAAAAUAUCCGCUAGUCGAGCGCAUUCACCUCUGUUGGGAAAGCUCCCUUUUACUGGGCAGAGGAGACGGCCGCCGCCGUCUUUGCGUCGGCGACACUACCUGGUACAGGGGACGCCUGAAAGGGCCGAUCCUGUGGCGAGCUCGGGUCGCGCCGAGCCGUCGCAACGCACGCUAAGGAGUGGGCUAGGAAACUAGCUUAAGGUACGUGCUAAUCCCACGGGCAACCGUGCUCGAUCGAAUAGGCCCAGUAAGCCGAAGCGAUCGGGGCUCUUGGGUAGUUCCGGAGCGGCUUGCUGUCCCCUGGGGAAGAACGACGCCCCGCGUCUGUUCGAACCGGGAGGCGACAAGAAUGCUGUGAUGCCCUUAGAUGUUCUGGGCCGCACGCGCGCUACACUGACGGAGCCAGCGAGUACUUCCUUGGCCGAAAGGCCCGGGUAAUCUUGUGAAACUCCGUCGUGCUGGGGAUAGAGCAUUGCAAUUAUUGCUCUUCAACGAGGAAUCCCUAGUAAGCGCAAGUCAUCAGCUUGCGUUGAUUACGUCCCUGCCCUUUGUACACACCGCCCGUCGCUACUACCGAUUGAAUGGCUCAGUGAGGCGUCCGGACUGGCCCAGGGAGGUGGGCAACUACCCCCCAGGGCCGGAAAGCUCUCCAAACUCGGUCAUUUAGAGGAAGUAAAAGUCGUAACAAGGUCUCCGUUGGUGAACCAGCGGAGGGAUCAUUACCGAGUUUUCAACUCCCUAACCCUUCUGUGAACCUACCUAUCGUUGCUUCGGCGGACUCGCCCCAGCCCGGACGCGGACUGGACCAGCGGCCCGCCGGGGACCUCAAACUCUUGUAUUCCAGCAUCUUCUGAAUACGCCGCAAGGCAAAACAAAUGAAUCAAAACUUUCAACAACGGAUCUCUUGGCUCUGGCAUCGAUGAAGAACGCAGCGAAACGCGAUAAGUAAUGUGAAUUGCAGAAUCCAGUGAAUCAUCGAAUCUUUGAACGCACAUUGCGCCCGCCAGCAUUCUGGCGGGCAUGCCUGUUCGAGCGUCAUUUCAACCCUCGACCUCCCCUUGGGGAGGUCGGCGUUGGGGACCGGCAGCACACCGCCGGCCCUGAAAUGGAGUGGCGGCCCGUCCGCGGCGACCUCUGCGCAGUAAUACAGCUCGCACCGGGACCCCGACGCGGCCACGCCGUAAAACACCCAACUUCUGAACGUGACCUCGAAUCAGGUAG